RNAcentral lists this ribosomal RNA (403 nucleotides) under uncultured prokaryote. Its description in RNAcentral is "bacterial SSU rRNA". It matches the Rfam family "Bacterial small subunit ribosomal RNA", at positions 355 to 774 of the family's 1533-position model. The record is from RNAcentral.
UGGGGAAUAUUGCACAAUGGGCGAAAGCCUGAUGCAGCAACGCCGCGUGAAGGAAGAAGGUCUUCGGAUUGUAAACUUUUGUCUUGCGGGACGAAUAAUGACGAUACCGCAGGAGGAAGCCACGGCUAACUACGUGCCAGCAGCCGCGGUAAUACGUAGGUGGCGAGCGUUGUCCGGAAUUACUGGGUGUAAAGGGUGCGUAGGCGGAUUUGCAAGUCAGACGUGAAAACUAUCGGCUUAACCGGUAGCCUGCGUUUGAAACUGUGAGUCUUGAGUGGUGAAGAGGUAAGCGGAAUUCCUAGUGUAGCGGUGAAAUGCUUAGAUAUAACACAGAACACCGAUUGCGAAGGCAGCUCUCUAAACUGCAACUGACGCUCAGGAACGAAAGCGUGGGGAUCAAACA